AAAGAAAAAAAAGGUAUUUACAGUCAAUGUGGAGGCUAUAUACAGGGGGUACCGGUACAGAGUCAAUGUGGAGACUAUAUACAGGGUAUUACGGUACAGAGUCAAUGUGGAGGCUAUAUACAGGGGGUACUGGUACAGAGUCAAUGUGGAGGCUAUAUACAGGGGGUACCGGUACAGAGUCAAUGUGGAGACUAUAUACAGGGGGUACCGGUACAGAGUCAAUGUGGAGACUAUAUACAGGGGGGUACUGGUACAGAGUCAAUGUGGAGACUAUAUACAGGGUGUUACGGUACAGAGUCAAUGUGGAGACUAUAUACAGGGGGUACUGGUACAGAGUCAAUGUGGAGGCUAUAUACAGGGGGUACUGGUACAGAGUCAAUGUGGAGACUAUAUACAGGGGGUACUGGUACAGAGUCAAUGUGGAGGCUAUAUACAGGGGGUACCGGUACAGAGUCAAUGUGGA
This is a long non-coding RNA of Oncorhynchus tshawytscha (Chinook salmon), 463 nucleotides long. The record is from Ensembl. Lineage: Eukaryota; Metazoa; Chordata; Actinopteri; Salmoniformes; Salmonidae.